Molecule: long non-coding RNA, 1276 nt
Filed under: Fragaria vesca (wild strawberry)
Lineage: Eukaryota; Viridiplantae; Streptophyta; Magnoliopsida; Rosales; Rosaceae
Description: long non-coding RNA (FVES_LNC003149)
Source: RNAcentral
UUAUAUUUUCUAUAUAAUAUAGAAGCAAAACUCAAAAUCUCUAAAAAUUUUGUAUACCAAAUUCAACAGUUUCCCUAUUUUAAAAAUUCAAAUAUUUAUUACAACAACAAUCCUCAUUUAGUACAAUAUAAUAAUAAGUAUAAAAAUAUAAAAGUUUAUUUUUUAGAAUAAAUUAUGUUUUCUUUCUUAUCUUUGAGCCUUGAAAAAUGUGCAACAUUCAAUUCUUUUUUCCCUAAAUAUUUUUAGGGAAUCUGUAAAUAUAGGGAAUCAAAACUUCUUUUUCAUCUCUUUCUCUAUUUUAGGGAAUGAGAUAGGAAAGUUGUUAGAGUGGAAAAUGACCCUAUAUUUCCUAAAAUAGAGAAAAUUAAAGAAUUUAGGGAAUCUGUUGGACUUGCUCUAAAGAGGCAUGUAGCAGUGCUUUGGACCUGAAGAUCGUACCGUGUCAUGAAAAGUAUCUGGGUCUUCCAACGGUUACUGGUAGGAAUUAUAAAAAAAGUUGUUCAAAGGACUUGCAGAAAAGUGUGGAGGAAAGUUCAACGCUAGGAAGGCAAAAUAUUGUCUAAUAUUGUCCAAGGGUGGCUCAAGGAAGUUAUGAUCAAAGCAGUAGCUCAAUCGAUCCCCUCCUAUACUAUUCCCCCAAAAUACCCAUAAUCUUAACGGAUGUGCCUCGUUGACGAGAGCCGCGCACCCGUCCAUCUCCGCUGUCCAUUUGACGCGGACUUUUGACUUUUUGAAAGUGGACGGCGGAGAUGGACGGGUGCGCGGCGCACCCAGGUGCGCUGUAUAAUUUUCACUCGUUGACAAGCGAAGCUAUGGAAAAACUUGGUCGCCAUGCUUCAACCAAUUUACUCCUGAUCUUUGACACCACAUCAUUUCUUCUUUCUCUAAAACCUCAUCCAAGUUCAACUUCAUUGCUCUUCGUUGUUGCAUAAUUUCAACCGAGGGGUAACUGCGUUGAAGAGUAUCCGAUUCUUCCCUCAAUCUUCUCACUGUCUUUUUUAUAUUACCAAAUUUUUCUCUUUCCCAAUGUUUAAGAGCAGCAGCAACAUAUCUCAGUAUGUCUUCCAAAUCCAGAUUACCAUAUCUAUACCAGCUCUAACUAAUGAUAUUUUAUAAAGUAGAGAUACAAAAAUUAAUAUUCGGGCAAAGUUGAGAUACUCUUUGGACAAUUAUAUAUAUAUAUAGUCUGUUUCUGGUGCGGACGUCCGUACGGAUUUCCGCCGUUUCUCCACCAUUCCAACGCCAGCGACACCGUUUCUUCUCCCCAGCGUNNNNN